This 271-nucleotide ribosomal RNA is filed under the name Lacticaseibacillus paracasei. RNAcentral describes it as "Lactobacillus paracasei partial 16S ribosomal RNA". It matches the Rfam family "Bacterial small subunit ribosomal RNA", at positions 1138 to 1408 of the family's 1533-position model. Lineage: Bacteria; Bacillati; Bacillota; Bacilli; Lactobacillales; Lactobacillaceae. The record is from RNAcentral.
CUCUAGCAAGACUGCCGGUGACAAACCGGAGGAUGGUGGGGAUGACGUCAAAUCAUCAUGCCCCUUAUGACCUGGGCUACACACGUGCUACAAUGGAUGGUACAACGCGUUGCGAGACCGCGAGGUCAAGCUAAUCUCUUAAAGCCAUUCUCAGUUCGGACUGUAGGCCGCAACUCGCCUACACGAAGUCGGAAUCGCUAGUAAUCGCGGAUCAGCACGCGGCGGUGAAUACGUUCCCGGGCCUUGUACACACCGCCCGUCACACCAUGAG